CAGUCGCCACGGUAAUACGUAGGUGGCAAGCGUUGUCCGGAAUUAUUGGGCGUAAAGCGCGCGCAGGCGGAUCGGUCAGUCUGUCUUAAAAGUUCGGGGCUUAACCCCGUGAUGGGAUGGAAACUGCCAAUCUAGAGUAUCGGAGAGGAAAGUGGAAUUCCUUGUGUAGCGGUGAAAUGCGUAGAUAUUGGGAAGAACACCAGUGGCGAAGGCGACUUUCUGGACGAAAACUGACGCUGAGGCGCGAAAGCCAGGGGAGCGAACGGGAUUAGAUACCCCGGUAGUCCCUGUCUCUUAUACA
RNAcentral lists this ribosomal RNA (301 nucleotides) under uncultured bacterium. Its description in RNAcentral is "partial 16S ribosomal RNA". It matches the Rfam family "Bacterial small subunit ribosomal RNA", at positions 509 to 809 of the family's 1533-position model. The record is from RNAcentral.